CGGAUUAGUUUUACUAUUUUAAUUUCUGCGGACAACGCUUUUUGGGAAUGAACGGAGGGCCCCUGGGGAGCUGCACAGCAACCAGGGGAGGAACUUCAAGGUGCAGGUGUUCAGCAAGGUCUGCCAGGAGCUGGGGAUCGUGAAGACCUGGACCACCCUCUAUCACCUGCAGAGUGACAGGCUGGUGGAGCAGUUUCACCGUACCCUAGCCACACAACUGGCAAACCUCAUGGACGAGCACCAGUGCAACUGGGACGUCUACCUUCCCUUGAUCCUGUAGGCGUAUGACACAGUGGUGCAGGAAGUGCAUAGUGCACGAGCUGGCCAGGAACCAUCAUGGGGCGGCCGCAAGCAGACAGAAGAGGGCAUAUGACGUCUGCUCCUGGGGACAGUCCUUCCAGCCCGGGGACCCUGUUCGGUUGUACUGCCUCAUCAGGAAGAAGGAGCAGUCACCCUGGCUCGACAGCCACUGGACGGGCCCUAAAGAAGGUUCUGGAACAGAUCUCCAAGGUGGUGUACAGGGUAUGGAUGCCUGAGUGGUGCAGUACUAUUAUGCUGCACCAUGACCACUUGGCACUGUACCAACCUCGGCCCACUUGGAGGAGCCAUCGCCACUGGUGGUGAGUACCCCGGCAGCAGGGACUGAUCAGGAUGGUGGAGGACUGGGGGGCUCGCAAUUGCAGAGGACUCGCCGCUGUUCGGAGCACUUCCAAGACUUUGUGGAGGUUCCAGGACAGAUAACCCCCCUGGGGGGGAGACAGUGUAGCGCGGAGGUACUGGUGGGCAGUGUGGCAGGUUGGACUGAUGCCAGCCAUGUAAACAGUUCUUCAUAGUCACUUGUGUUGUAUGUAAAUGUGCUGUGUUGUUAUGCCACGUGUAGUGUUGACAGUUUAUUGCUGUACAUAGUGUGUUGGUGUGUGUGUGCUCCCAAAUUAGGAGUGAGCUGGGUGAUGGGCACAGUGAGCAGUGCUAGUGCUUCACAAUAUGAAUACAGCAUGGGGACAAUGGAAAAGCAUCAUAUGUUGAUGUACAAUCGACCUAUGUCUACAGAUUAUUUGUUGCAUUUGACAUUAUAUGUUGCCAUUUUGUAUUAAAAUUGUAGUGUUUAACUUGUGCAGCAUGUUAGUUUAAAGAAAAUAAAUGUAGAAAAUGUA
This is a non-coding RNA of Paramormyrops kingsleyae, 1154 nucleotides long. The record is from RefSeq and is a predicted model, not a curated record. NCBI's taxonomy places the organism in Eukaryota, Metazoa, Chordata, Actinopteri, Osteoglossiformes, Mormyridae.